RNAcentral lists this ribosomal RNA (311 nucleotides) under uncultured Sandonidae. Its description in RNAcentral is "bacterial SSU rRNA". The stretch from base 101 to 311 matches the Rfam family "Eukaryotic small subunit ribosomal RNA", at positions 743 to 955 of the family's 1831-position model. The record is from RNAcentral. Lineage: Eukaryota; Cercozoa; Glissomonadida; Viridiraptoridae.
GAUUUCUGGUUCGGCGCACUUGGCCCGCUCAGGUCUUCUGAGUGAGUGCCGGUGUGCGCCAUCCAUCCUUCGGGUUUGCCCGGCUUCGGUCGGUGUCAAGCUCGAUCUUUUACUUUGAAAAAAUUAGAGUGUUUAAAGCAGGCUUGCGCUAUGAAUACAUUAGCAUGGAAUAAUAAUUUAGGACUUUGGUCUUAUUUUGUUGGUUUCUAGGACUAAAGUAAUGAUUGAUAGGGACAGUUGGGGGUGCUAGUAUUCAGCGGCCAGAGGUGAAAUUCUUGGAUUCGCUGAAGACUAACUUAUGCGAAAGCAUU